This 253-nucleotide ribosomal RNA is filed under the name uncultured bacterium. RNAcentral's name for it is "partial 16S ribosomal RNA". It matches the Rfam family "Bacterial small subunit ribosomal RNA", at positions 524 to 776 of the family's 1533-position model. The record is from RNAcentral.
UACGAGUGCUUCGAGCGUUAUCCGGAAUCAUUGGGCGUAAAGGGUGUGUAGGUUGUUUUGUUAGUCCUGUGUUAAAUAUACCGGCUCAACCGGUAUGCCGCAUGGGAAACGGCAGAACUUGAGGACGGUAGGGGUCAUUGGAACUCAUGGUGUAGCGGUGAAAUGCGCAGAUAUCAGGAGGAACACCGGUGGCGAAGGCGGAUCUCUGGGCCGAUACUGACGCUGAGGAGCGAAAGCGUGGGGAGCGAACAGG